Molecule: transfer RNA, 77 nt
Filed under: Salmonella enterica subsp. enterica
Lineage: Bacteria; Pseudomonadati; Pseudomonadota; Gammaproteobacteria; Enterobacterales; Enterobacteriaceae
Description: tRNA-Asn
Rfam family: tRNA
About the family: Transfer RNA (tRNA) molecules are approximately 80 nucleotides in length. Their secondary structure includes four short double-helical elements and three loops (D, anti-codon, and T loops). Further hydrogen bonds mediate the characteristic L-shaped molecular structure. tRNAs have two regions of fundamental functional importance: the anti-codon, which is responsible for specific mRNA codon recognition, and the 3' end, to which the tRNAs corresponding amino acid is attached (by aminoacyl-tRNA synthetases). tRNAs cope with the degeneracy of the genetic code in two manners: having more than one tRNA (with a specific anti-codon) for a particular amino acid; and 'wobble' base-pairing, i.e. permitting non-standard base-pairing at the 3rd anti-codon position.
Source: RNAcentral
GGGUCAGUCGUAUAAGGUCAUUACGGAAGGCUGUUAACCUUCUUGUAUCGUAUGGUUCGAGUCACGCUGGCCCGCCA